This 386-nucleotide ribosomal RNA is filed under the name uncultured bacterium. Its description in RNAcentral is "bacterial SSU rRNA". It matches the Rfam family "Bacterial small subunit ribosomal RNA", at positions 335 to 704 of the family's 1533-position model. The record is from RNAcentral.
ACUCCUACGGGGAGGCAGCAGUGGGGGAAUAUUGCACAAUGGGGGGAAACCCUGAUGCAGCCAUGCCGCGUGUGUGAAGAAGGCCUUCGGGUUGUAAAGCACUUUCAGUAGGGAGGAAGGUAGUGUAGUUAACACCUGCACUAUUUGUACGUUACCUACAGAAGAAGCACCGGCUAACUCCGUGCCAGCAGCCGCGGUAAGUACGGAGGGUGCGAGCGUUAAUCGGUAAUUACUGGGCGUAAAGCGCAUGCAGGCGGCCUGUUAAGUCAGAUGUGAAAGCCCGGGGUCUUAACCGUCGGAAUUGCAUUUGAAACUGGCAGGCUAGAGUCUUGUAGAGGGGUUAGAAUUUCGAGUGUAGCGGUGAAAUGCGUAGAGAUCGUAGAAGG